This 305-nucleotide ribosomal RNA is filed under the name uncultured bacterium. RNAcentral describes it as "bacterial SSU rRNA". It matches the Rfam family "Bacterial small subunit ribosomal RNA", at positions 335 to 637 of the family's 1533-position model. The record is from RNAcentral.
AGUCCUACGGGACGCAGCAGUGAGGAAUAUUGGUCAAUGGGCGAGAGCCUGAACCAGCCAAGUCGCGUGAGGGAAGACGGCCCUACGGGUUGUAAACCUCUUUUGUCAGGGAGCAAGAACGGAUACGUGUAUCCGAGCGAGAGUACCUGAAGAAAAAGCAUCGGCUAACUCCGUGCCAGCAGCCGCGGUAAUACGGAGGAUCCGAGCGUUAUCCGGAUUUAUUGGGUUUAAAGGGAGCGUAGAUGGGUUGUUAAGUCAGUUGUGAAAGUUUGCGGCUCAACCGUAAAAUUGCAAUUGAUACUGGC